Molecule: ribosomal RNA, 497 nt
Filed under: uncultured bacterium
Lineage: Bacteria
Description: partial 16S ribosomal RNA
Rfam family: Bacterial small subunit ribosomal RNA
Source: RNAcentral
GAUGAACGCUGGCGGCGUGCCUAAUACAUGCAAGUCGAGCGAACAGACGAGGAGCUUGCUCCUCUGACGUUAGCGGCGGACGGGUGAGUAACACGUGGAUAACCUACCUAUAAGACUGGGAUAACUUCGGGAAACCGGAGCUAAUACCGGAUAAUAUAUUGAACCGCAUGGUUCAAUAGUGAAAGACGGUUUUGCUGUCACUUAUAGAUGGAUCCGCGCCGCAUUAGCUAGUUGGUAAGGCAACGGCUUACCAAGGCAACGAUGCGUAGCCGACCUGAGAGAGUGAUCGGCCACACUGGAACUGAGACACGGUCCAGACUCCUACGGGAGGCAGCAGUAGGGAAUCUUCCGCAAUGGGCGAAAGCUUGACGGAGCAACGCCGCGUGAGUGAUGAAGGUCUUCGGAUCGUAAAACUCUGUUAUUAGGGAAGAACAAAUGUGUAAGUAACUAUGCACGUCUUGACGGUACCUAAUCAGAAAGCCACGGCUAACUACGUG